UACAAGAACGCCCGGGCUUCGGCCUGGUUAUUCAUAACCCUUUGUUGUCCGACUCUGUUGCCUCCGGGGCGACCCUGCCUUCGGGCGGGGGCUCCGGGUGGACACUUCAAACUCUUGCGUAACUUUGCAGUCUGAGUAAACUUAAUUAAUAAAUUAAAACUUUUAACAACGGAUCUCUUGGUUCUGGCAUCGAUGAAGAACGCAGCGAAAUGCGAUAAGUAAUGUGAAUUGCAGAAUUCAGUGAAUCAUCGAAUCUUUGAACGCACAUUGCGCCCCCUGGUAUUCCGGGGGGCAUGCCUGUUCGAGCGUCAUUUCACCACUCAAGCCUCGCUUGGUAUUGGGCAACGCGGUCCGCCGCGUGCCUCAAAUCGUCCGGCUGGGUCUUCUGUCCCCUAAGCGUUGUGGAAACUAUUCGCUAAAGGGUGUUCGGGAGGCUACGCCGUAAAACAACCCCAUUUCUAAGGUUGACCUCGGAUCAGGUAGGGAUACCCGCUGAACUUAAGCAUAUCAAUAAGCGGAGGAAAAGAAACCAACAGGGAUUGCUCUAGUAACGGCGAGUGAAGCAGCAAUAGCUCAAAUUUGAAAUCUGGCGUCUUCGACGUCCGAGUUGUAAUUUGUAGAGGAUGCUUCUGAGUGGCCACCGACCUAAGUUCCUUGGAACAGGACGUCAUAGAGGGUGAGAAUCCCGUAUGCGGUCGGAAAGGCGCUCUAUACGUAGCUCCUUCGACGAGUCGAGUUGUUUGGGAAUGCAGCUCUAAAUGGGAGGUAAAUUUCUUCUAAAGCU
RNAcentral lists this ribosomal RNA (784 nucleotides) under fungal endophyte. RNAcentral's name for it is "eukaryotic LSU rRNA". The stretch from base 466 to 784 matches the Rfam family "Eukaryotic large subunit ribosomal RNA", at positions 1 to 317 of the family's 3401-position model. Lineage: Eukaryota; Fungi. The record is from RNAcentral.